RNAcentral lists this long non-coding RNA (8900 nucleotides) under Pelobates cultripes (western spadefoot toad). Lineage: Eukaryota; Metazoa; Chordata; Amphibia; Anura; Pelobatidae. The record is from RNAcentral.
CUCCCAUCAUUCAGACUGCCUUUAAUCCUGCACACAGACAGACUGAGAGCAUCAGGUAUUUACUAAAAACUAAGUGUAUAUUCACUGACAGAAUGUGAGUCUGUCUGAGAGACUGCCUGAGACUGUGGGAGACUGCCUGAGACUGUGAGAGAGGAGCUGAGAGUGUCAGAGACUGCCUGAGAGUGUGAGAGACUGCCUGAGAGUGUGAGAGAGGAGCUGGGAGUGUGAGAGAGGAGCUGGGAGUGUGAGAGACUGCCUGAGAGUGUGAGAGAGGAGCUGGGAGUGUGAGAGACUGCCUGAGAGUGUGAGAGAGGAGCUGAGAGUGUGAGAGAGGAGCUGAGAGUGUGAGAGACUGCCUGAGAGUGUGAGAGACUGCCUGAGAGUGUGAGAGACUGCCUGAGAGUGUGAGAGACUGCCUGAGAGUGUGAGAGAGGAGCUGAGAGUGUGAGAGACUGCCUGAGAGUGUGAGAGAGGAGCUGAGAGUGUGAGAGACUCUGAGACUGUGAGUGAGUGUGAGAGACUGCCUGAGACUGCCUGGGAGUGUGAGAGACUGCAUGUGAGUGUGAGAGGAGCUGAUAGACUGAGAGUGACAGGGAUACUGAUAGACUGAGAGUGUGUCAGGGAGUCUGAGAGACUGUCUGAGAGUGUCAGGGAUACUGAGAGACUGUAUGAGAGUGUCAGGGAGACUGAGAGACUGUCUGAGAGUGUCAGGGAUACUGACAGACUGUCAGGGAUACUGAGAGACUGUCUGAGAGUGUGUCAGGGAGACUGAGAGACUGUCUGAGAGUGUCAGGGAUACUGAGAGUCUGUCUGAGAGUGUCAGGGAUACUGAGAGUCUGUCUGAGAGUAUGUCAGGGAUACUGAGAGUCUGUCUGAGAGAGUGUCAGGGAUACUGAGAGUCUGUCUGAGAGAGUGUCAGGGAGACUGAGAGACUGUCUGAGAGAGUGUCAGGGAGACUGAGAGACUGUCUGAGAGUGUCAGGGAGACUGAGAGACUGUCUGAGAGUGUCAGGGAUACUGAGAGACUGUCUGAGAGUCUGUCAGGGAUACUGAGAGACUCUGAGAGUGUCAGGGAUACUGAGAGACUGUCUGAGAGAGUGUCAGGGAUACUGAGAGACUGUCUGAGUGUGUCAGGGAGACUGAGAGACUGUCUGAGAGUGUCAGGGAUACUGAGAGACUGUCUGAGAGUGUCAGGGAUACUGAGAGACUGUCUGAGAGUGUCAGGGAUACUGAGAGACUGUCUGAGAGAGUGUCAGGGAUACUGAGAGACUGUCUGAGAGUGUGUCAGGGAUACUGAGAGACUGUCUGAGAGUGUGUCAGUGAUACUGAGAGACUGUCUGAGAGAGUGUCAGGGAUACUGAGAGACUGUCUGAGAGUGUCAGGGAUACUGAGAGACUGAGAGUGUCUGGGAUACUGAGAGACUGUCUGAGAGUGUCAGGGAUACUGAGAGACUGACUGAGAGUGUCAGGGAUACUGAGAGACAGUGUGUCAGGGAUACUGAGAGACUGUCAGGGAGACUGAGAGACUGUCUGAGAGAGUGUCAGGGAUACUGAGAGACUGUGAGAGUGUUUCAGGGAUACUGGGAGACUGUAUGAGAGUGUCAGGGAUACUGAGAGAGUGUCAGGGAUACUGAGAGACUGUCUGAGAGAGUGUCAGGGAUACUGAGAGUGUCAGGGAUACUGAGAAACUGUCUGAGAGUGUCAGGGAUACUGAGAGACUGUCUGAGAGUGUCAGGGAUACUGCGAGACUGUCUGAGAGUGUCAGGGAUACCGCGAGACUGUCUGAGAGUGUCAGGGAUACUGAGAGACUGUCUGAGAGUGUGUCAGGGAUACUGAGAGUGUGUCAGGGAUACUGAGAGACUGUCUGAGAGUGUGUCAGGGAUACUGAGAGAGUGUCAGGGAUACUGAGAGACUGUCUGAGAGUGUGUCAGGGAUACUGAGAGAUGGUCUGAGAGUGUCAGGGAUACUGAGAGACGGUCUGAGAGUGUCAGGGAUGCUGAGAGACUGUCUGAGAGGGUGUCAGGGAUACCGAGAGACUGUCUGAGAGUGUCAGGGAUACUGAGAGACUGUCUGAGAGUGUGUCAGGGAUACUGAGAGAAUGUCUCUGAGAGUGUGUCAGGGAUACUGAGAGACUGUCUGAGAGUGUGUCAGGGAUACUGAGAGAUGGUCUGAGAGUGUCAGGGAUACUGAGAGACGGUCUGAGAGUGUCAGGGAUGCUGAGAGACUGUCUGAGUGUGUCAGGGAUGCUGAGAGACGGUCUGAGUGUGUCAGGGAUGCUGAGAGACGGUCUGAGAGUGUGUCAGGGAUACUGAGAGAUGGUCUGAGAGUGUCAGGGAUACUGAGAGAUGGUCUGAGAGUGUCAGGGAUGCUGAGAGACGGUCUGAGAGUGUCAGGGAUACUGCGAGACUGUCUGAGAGUGUGUCAGGGCUACUGAGAGACUGAGAGUGUCAGGGAUACUGAGAGACAGAGUGUCAGGGAUACUCAAAGACUGAGAGUGUCAGAGAGACUGUCUGAGAGUGUCAGGGUUACUGAGAGACUGUCUGAGAGUGUGUCAGGGCUACUGAGAGACUGUCUGAGAGUGUCAGGGAUACUGAGAGACUGUCUGAGAGAGUGUCAGGGAUACUGAGAGACCCUCUGAGAGUGUGUCAGGGAUACUGAGAGACCGACUGAGAGUGUGUCAGGGAUACUGAGAGACGGUCUGAGAGUGUCAGGGAUACUGAGAGACUGUCUAAGAGAGUGUCAUGGAUACUGAGAGACGUCUGAUAGUGUCAGACACUCUCAAAGACAUUCUGAGAGUGUCAGGGAUACUGAGAGACUGUCUGAGAGUGUGAGGGAUACUGAGAGACUGUCUGAGAGUUUGUCAGGGUUACUGAGAGACUGAGAGUGUCAGGGAUACUGAGAGUGUCAGGGAUACUGAGAGACUGAGAGUGUCAGGGAUACUGAGAGACUGACUGAGAGUGUGUCAGGGAUACUGAGAGACUGACUGAGAGUGUGUCAGGGAUACUGAGAGACUGACUGAGAGUGUGUCAGGGAUACUGAGAGACGGUCUGAGAGUGUCAGGGAUACUGAGAGACUGUUUGAGAGUGUCAGGGAUACUGAGAGACGUCUGAGAGUGUGUCAGGGAUACUGAGAGACUGUCUGAGAGUGUCAGGGAUACUGAGAGACGGUCUGAAUGUGUGUCAGGGAUACUGAGAGACUGUCUGAGAGAGUGUCAGGGAUACUGAGAGUGUGUCAGGGAUACUGAGAGACUGUCUGAGAGAGUGUCAGGGAUACUGAGAGACUGAGAGUGUCAGGGAUACUGAGAAACUGUCUGAGAGUUUCAGGGAUACUGCGAGACUGUCUGAGAGUGUGUCAGGGAUACUGAAAGACUGUCUGAGAGUGUCAGGGAUACUGAGAGACUGUCUGAGAGUGUGUCAGGGAUACUGAGAGACUGUCUGAGAGUGUAAGGGAUGCUGAGAGACGGUCUGAGUGUGUCAGGGUUACUGAGAGACUGUCUGAGAGUGUGCCAGGGAUGCUGAGAGACUGAGAGUGUCAGGGAUACUGAGAGACUGUCUGAGAGUGUGUCAGGGAUACUGAGAGACUGUCUGAGAGUGUCAGGGAUACUGAGAGACUGUCUGAGAGUGUGAGGGAUACUCAGACACUGUCUGAGAGUGUGUCAGGGAUGAGAGACUGAGAGAUACUGAGAGACUGUCUGAGAGUGUCAGGGAUACUGAGAGACUGACUGAGAGUGUCAGGGAUACUGAGAGACAGUGUGUCAGGGAUACUGAGAGACUGUCAGGGAGACUGAGAGACUGUCUGAGAGAGUGUCAGGGAUACUGAGAGACUGUGAGAGUGUUUCAGGGAUACUGGGAGACUGUAUGAGAGUGUCAGGGAUACUGAGAGAGUGUCAGGGAUACUGAGAGACUGUCUGAGAGAGUGUCAGGGAUACUGAGAGUGUCAGGGAUACUGAGAAACUGUCUGAGAGUGUCAGGGAUACUGAGAGACUGUCUGAGAGUGUCAGGGAUACUGCGAGACUGUCUGAGAGUGUCAGGGAUACCGCGAGACUGUCUGAGAGUGUCAGGGAUACUGAGAGACUGUCUGAGAGUGUGUCAGGGAUACUGAGAGUGUGUCAGGGAUACUGAGAGACUGUCUGAGAGUGUGUCAGGGAUACUGAGAGAGUGUCAGGGAUACUGAGAGACUGUCUGAGAGUGUGUCAGGGAUACUGAGAGAUGGUCUGAGAGUGUCAGGGAUACUGAGAGACGGUCUGAGAGUGUCAGGGGAUACUGCGAGACUGUCUGAGAGUGUCAGGGAUACCGCGAGACUGUCUGAGAGUGUCAGGGAUACUGAGAGACUGUCUGAGAGUGUGUCAGGGAUACUGAGAGUGUGUCAGGGAUACUGAGAGACUGUCUGAGAGUGUGUCAGGGAUACUGAGAGAGUGUCAGGGAUACUGAGAGACUGUCUGAGAGUGUGUCAGGGAUACUGAGAGAUGGUCUGAGAGUGUCAGGGAUACUGAGAGACGGUCUGAGAGUGUCAGGGAUGCUGAGAGACUGUCUGAGAGGGUGUCAGGGAUACCGAGAGACUGUCUGAGAGUGUCAGGGAUACUGAGAGACUGUGUCAGGGAUACUGAGAGACUGUCUGAGAGUGUGUCAGGGAUACUGAGAGAGUGUCAGGGAUACUGAGAGACUGUCUGAGAGUGUGUCAGGGAUACUGAGAGAUGGUCUGAGAGUGUCAGGGAUACUGAGAGACGGUCUGAGAGUGUCAGGGGUGCUGAGAGACUGAAUGUGUCAGGGAUGCUGAGAGACGGUCUGAGUGUGUCAGGGAUGCUGAGAGACGGUCUGAGUGUGUCAGGGAUGCUGAGAGACUGUCUGAGAGUGUGUCAGGGAUGCUGAGAGACUGUCUGACAGUGUGUCAGGGAUACUGAGAGAUGGUCUGAGAGUGUCAGGGAUACUGAGAGAUGGUCUGAGAGUGUCAGGGAUGCUGAGAGACGGUCUGAGAGUGUCAGGGAUGCUGAGAGACGGUCUGAGAGUGUCAGGGAUACUGCGAGACUGUCUGAGAGAGUGUCAGGGAUACUGCGAGACUGUCUGAGAGAGUGUCAGGGAUACUGAGAGUGUCAGGGAUACUGAGAAACUGUCUGAGAGUGUGUCAGGGCUACUGAGAGACUGAGUGUCAGGGAUACUGAGAGACAGAGUGUCAGGGAUACUCAAAGACUGAGAGUGUCAGAGAGACUGUCUGAGAGUGUCAGGGUUACUGAGAGACUGUCUGAGAGUGUGUCAGGGCUACUGAGAGACUGUCUGAGAGUGUCAGGGAUACUGAGAGACUGUCUGAGAGUGUGUCAGGUAUACUGAGACCGUCUGAGAGUGUCAGGGAUUGAGAGAUCUGUCUGAGAUGUCAGGGAUACCGAGAGACUGUCUGAGAGAGUGUCAGGGGAUACUGAGAGACCCUCUGAGAGUAAAAGUCAGGGAUACUCGAGAGACUGGACUGAGAGUGUGUCAGGGAUACUGAGAGACGGUCUGAGAGUGUCAGGGAUACUGAGAGACUGUCUAAGAGAGUGUCAUGGAUACUGAGAGACGUCUGAUAGUGUCAGACACUCUGAAAGACAUUCUGAGAGUGUCAGGGAUACUGAGAGACUGUCUGAGAGUGUGAGGGAUACUGAGAGACUGUCUGAGAGUUUGUCAGGGUUACUGAGAGACUGAGAGUGUCAGGGAUACUGAGAGUGUCAGGGAUACUGAGAGACUGAGAGUGUCAGGGAUACUGAGAGACUGACUGAGAGUGUGUCAGGGAUACUGAGAGACUGACUGAGAGUGUGUCAGGGAUACUGAGAGACGGUCUGAGAGUGUCAGGGAUACUGAGAGACUGUUUGAGAGUGUCAGGGAUACUGAGAGACGUCUGAGAGUGUGUCAGGGAUACUGAGAGACUGUCUGAGAGUGUCAGGGAUACUGAGAGACGGUCUGAAUGUGUGUCAGGGAUACUGAGAGACUGUCUGAGAGAGUGUCAGGGAUACUGAGAGUGUGUCAGGGAUACUGAGAGACUGUCUGAGAGAGUGUCAGGGAUACUGAGAGACUGAGAGUGUCAGGGAUACUGAGAAACUGUCUGAGAGUGUGCCAGGGAUGCUGAGAGACUGAGAGUGUCAGGGAUACUGAGAGACUGUCUGAGAGUGUGUCAGGGAUACUGAGAGACUGUCUGAGAGUAUGUCAGGGAUACUGAGAGACGGUCUGAGAGUGUCAGGGAUACUGAGAGACGUCUGAGAGUGCGUCAGGGAUACUGAGAGACUGACUGCGUGUGUGUCAGGGAUACUGAGAGACUGUCUGAGAGUGUCAGGGAUACUGAGAGACUGUCUGAGAGUGUCAGGGAUAUUGAGAGACUGUCUGAGCGAUUGUCAGGGAUACUGAGAGACUGUCUCAGAGUGUCAGGGAUACUCAAAGAAUGAGUGUGUCAGGGAUACUGAGAGACUGAGAGUGUCAGGGAUACUGAGAGACUGACUGAGAGUGUGUCAGGGAUACUGAGAGACUGUCUGAGAGAGUGUCAGGGAUACUGAGAGACUCUGAGAGUAUGUCAGGGAUACUGAGAGACGGUGUGAGAGUGUCAGGGAUACUGAGAGACAUCUGAGAGUGCGUCAUGGAUACUGAGAGACUGUCUGAGAGUGUCAGGGAUACUGAGAGACUGUCUGGGAGUGUGUCAGGGAUACUGAGAGACUGUCUGAGAGAGUGUCAGGGAUACUGAGAGACUGUCUGAGAGAGUGUCAGGGAUACUGAGAGACUGUCAGGGAUACUGAGAGACUGUCUGAGAGUAUGUCAGGGAUACUGAGAGACGGUCUGAGAGUGUCAGGGAUACUGAGAGACGUCUGAGAGUGCGUCAGGGAUACUGAGAGACUGACUGCGUGUGUGUCAGGGAUACUGAGAGACUGUCUGAGAGUGUCAGGGAUACUGAGAGACUGUCUGAGAGUGUCAGGGAUAUUGAGAGACUGUCUGAGCGAUUGUCAGGGAUACUGAGAGACUGUCUCAGAGUGUCAGGGAUACUCAAAGAAUGAGUGUGUCAGGGAUACUGAGAGACUGACUGAGAGUGUGUCAGGAAUACUGAGAGACUGACUGAGAGUGUGUCAGGGAUACUGAGAGACUGUCUGAGAGAGUGUCAGGGAUACUGAGAGACUCUGAGAGUAUGUCAGGGAUACUGAGAGACGGUGUGAGAGUGUCAGGGAUACUGAGAGACGUCUGAGAGUGCGUCGUGGAUACUGAGAGACUGUCUGAGAGUGUCAGGGAUACUGAGAGACUGUCUGGGAGUGUGUCAGGGAUACUGAGAGACUGAGAGUGUCAGGGAUACUGAGAGACUGUCUGAGAGAGUGUCAGGGAUACUGAGAGACUGACUGAGAGUGUGUCAGGGAUACUGAGAGACUGUCUGAGAGAGUGUCAGGGAUACUGAGAGACUGUCUGAGAGUGUCAGGGAUACUGAGAGACUCUGAGAGUAUGUCAGGGAUGCUGAGAGACAGUGUGAGAGUGUCAGGGAUACUGAGAGACGUCUGAGAGUGCGUCAUGGAUACUGAGAGACUGUCUGAGAGUGUCAGGGAUACUGAGAGACUGUCUGAGAGUGUGUCAGGGAUACUGAGAGAAUGUCUGAGAGUUUGUCAGGGAUGCUGAGAGACUGUCUGAGAGUGUGUCAGGGAUGCUGAGAGACGGUCUGAGAGUGUGUCAGGGAUACUGAGAGACGGUCUGAGAGAGUGUCAGGGAUACUAAUAGUCAGUCUGAGAGAGUGUCAGGGAUACUGAGAGACUGUCUGAGAGUAUGUCAGGGAUACUGAGAGACUGUCUGAGAGAGUGUCAGGGAUACUGAGAGACGGUCUAAGAGAGUGUCAGUGAUACUGAUAGUCGGUCUGAGAGUGUGUCAGGGAUACUGAGAGACUGUCUAAGAGAGUGUCAGGGAUACUGAGAGACUGUCUAAGAGAGUGUCAGGGAUACUGAGAGACUGUCUAAGAGAGUGUCAGGGAUACUGAGAGACGGUCUGAGAGUGUGUCAGGAAUACUGAGAGACGUCUGACAGUGUCAGGGAUACUGAGAGACUGUCUGAGAGACUGUCAGGGAUACUGAGAGACUGUCUGAGAGAGUGUCAGGGAUACUGAGAGACGGUCUAAGAGAGUGUCAGGGAUACUGAGAGACUGUCUGAGAGUGUGUCAGGGAUACUGAAAGACUGUCUGAGAGUGUGUCAGGGAUACUGAUAGUCGGUCUGAGAGUGUGUCAGGGAUACUGAGAGACGGUCUAAGAGAGUGUCAGGGAUACUGAGAGACUGUCUGAGAGAGUGUCAGGGAUACUGAGAGACCCUCUGAGAGUGUGUCAGGGAUACUGAGAGACGUCUGAUAGUGUCAGGGAUACUCAAAGACAUUCUGAGAGUGUCAGGGAUACUGAGAGACUGACUGAGAGUGUGUCAGGGAUGCUGAGAGACUGUCUGAGAGUGUCAGGGAUACUGAGAGACUGUCUGAGAGUGUCAGGGAUGCUGAGAGACGGUCUGAGAGUGUCAGGGAUACUGAGAGACUCUCUUUGGGAUGCCAGGAACAGUGAAUUACUCUUAUAUUUUCUAAUUUUAGAUUUAGUAUCCGUAACUGGAUCCUUACAAUCACCGGAUUCCUAAUAUUCUUAACUGGUUCUUUACAAUCACCGGAUUCUUAAUAUCAGUAACUGGAUUUUUACAAUCACCGGAUUCUUAAUAUCUGUAACUGGAACAAUCACCGGAUUCUUAAUAUCUGUAACUGGAACAAUCACCGCAUUCUUAAUAUCCGUAACUGGAUCUUUACAAUCACCGCACUCUUAAUAUCUGUAACUGGAACAAUCACCGGAUUCUUAAUAUCCGUAACUGGAACAAUCACCGCAUUCUUAAUAUCCGUAACUGGAUCUUUACAAUCACCGCAUUCUUAAUAUCUGUAACUGGAACAAUUACCGG